Molecule: long non-coding RNA, 582 nt
Organism: Callithrix jacchus (white-tufted-ear marmoset)
Lineage: Eukaryota; Metazoa; Chordata; Mammalia; Primates; Cebidae
Source: RefSeq, a predicted model, not a curated record
AGUCAGCAGAGAGAACAGGCACUGGCUCAUAGACACGGUAGGGUUUGCAUCAGCUGAGCCCCUGGUCUGGGGAGCAGAGAGAAAUACAGACACAUCAGCAGAUGCCUACGUGGGCAGAUACCACUCACAAGGAUUGGAGGGGGGGCUCGUAAAUAACAUCCCUGUCCAGAAAUAAUUGAGAGAGAGAGAAGUUGGGCUGUCUUAAAUCCAAGCACCAUCUGUAUAGGAGAAAAGUGAGAUGGGAGGAUGUGGCUGAAUUCAGUGGAAACCGUGGACCUACUAACAGGGUCAGGCUGUGUCACCCAGCCUGGAGUGCAGUGGUGGAAUCACAACUCACUGCACCCUCAACCUUUUUGAGCUCACGCCAUCCUCCUAUCCCAGCCUUCCGAGUAGCUUGGACUACAGGCAUGCACCACCACACCUGGCUGUCUGCCUAGAGAAGCCACAAUCCUUGCUGAGGCCCUAGCUCGCCUGGCUGGGGGGAAGAUUCCUAUGGCGUUGGAAGCUCUCGUCCCCGGGAGACCUGCAGAACACCUGGUGGAAAGGAGGAGAGGUGGGGCCAUGCCAACGGCUUACCUGAUG